CAGGAUGAACGCUAGCUACAGGCUUAACACAUGCAAGUCGAGGGGCAGCGGGAUUGAAGCUUGCUUCAAUUGCCGGCGACCGGCGCACGGGUGAGUAACGCGUAUCCAACCUUCCGUACACUCAGGGAUAGCCUUUCGAAAGAAAGAUUAAUACCUGAUGGUAUGAUGAGAUUGCAUGAUAGCAUCAUUAAAGAUUUAUCGGUGUACGAUGGGGAUGCGUUCCAUUAGGUAGUAGGCGGGGUAACGGCCCACCUAGCCAACGAUGGAUAGGGGUUCUGAGAGGAAGGUCCCCCACAUUGGAACUGAGACACGGUCCAAACUCCUACGGGAGGCAGCAGUGAGGAAUAUUGGUCAAUGGACGAGAGUCUGAACCAGCCAAGUAGCGUGAAGGAUGAAGGUCCUACGGAUUGUAAACUUCUUUUAUAAGGGAAUAAACCCUCCCACGUGUGGGAGCUUGUAUGUACCUUAUGAAUAAGCAUCGGCUAACUCCGUGCCAGCAGCCGCGGUAAUACGGAGGAUGCGAGCGUUAUCCGGAUUUAUUGGGUUUAAAGGGAGCGCAGACGGGUCGUUAAGUCAGCUGUGAAAGUUUGGGGCUCAACCUUAAAAUUGCAGUUGAUACUGGCGUCCUUGAGUGCGGUUGAGGUGUGCGGAAUUCGUGGUGUAGCGGUGAAAUGCUUAGAUAUCACGAAGAACUCCGAUUGCGAAGGCAGCACACUAAUCCGUAACUGACGUUCAUGCUCGAAAGUGUGGGUAUCAAACAGGAUUAGAUACCCUGGUAGUCCACACGGUAAACGAUGGAUACUCGCUGUUGGCGAUAUACUGUCAGCGGCUUAGCGAAAGCGUUAAGUAUCCCACCUGGGGAGUACGCCGGCAACGGUGAAACUCAAAGGAAUUGACGGA
This 900-nucleotide ribosomal RNA is filed under the name uncultured bacterium. RNAcentral's name for it is "bacterial SSU rRNA". It matches the Rfam family "Bacterial small subunit ribosomal RNA", at positions 25 to 917 of the family's 1533-position model. The record is from RNAcentral.